This 457-nucleotide ribosomal RNA is filed under the name uncultured bacterium. RNAcentral describes it as "bacterial SSU rRNA". It matches the Rfam family "Bacterial small subunit ribosomal RNA", at positions 340 to 787 of the family's 1533-position model. The record is from RNAcentral.
UACGGAAGGCAGCAGUGGGGAAUAUUGCACAAUGGGCGCAAGCCUGAUGCAGCCAUGCCGCGUGUAUGAAGAAGGCCUUCGGGUUGUAAAGUACUUUCAGCGGGGAGGAAGGGAGUAAAGUUAAUACCUUUGCUCAUUGACGUUACCCGCAGAAGAAGCACCGGCUAACUCCGUGCCAGCAGCCGCGGUAAUACGGAGGGUGCAAGCGUUAAUCGGAAUUACUGGGCGUAAAGCGCACGCAGGCGGUUUUGUUAAGUCAGAUGUGAAAUCCCCGGGCUCAACCUGGGAACUGCAUCUGAUACUGGCAAGCUUGAGUCUCGUAGAGGGGGUAGAAUUCCAGGUGUAGCGGUGAAAUGCGUAGAGAUCUGGAGGAAUACCGGUGGCGAAGGCGGGCCCCUGGACGAGACUGACGCUCAGGGUGCGAAAGCGUGGGGAGCAAACGAGGAUUAGGAUAACC